RNAcentral lists this ribosomal RNA (439 nucleotides) under uncultured bacterium. Its description in RNAcentral is "bacterial SSU rRNA". It matches the Rfam family "Bacterial small subunit ribosomal RNA", at positions 545 to 982 of the family's 1533-position model. The record is from RNAcentral.
CCGGAAUCAUUGGGCGUAAAGCGCGCGUAGGUGGCCUAAUAACUCCGCUGUGUAAGUCAAAGGCUCAACCUUUGAAAGCCGGUGGAUACUGUGAGGCUAGAGUACGGAAGAGGCGAGUGGAAUUCCUGGUGUAGCGGUGGAAUGCGCAGAUAUCAGGAGGAACACCAAUAGCGAAGGCAGCUCGCUGGGACGUUACUGACACUGAGGCGCGAAAGCGUGGGGAGCGAACAGGAUUAGAUACCCUGGUAGUCCACGCCGUAAACGAUGGGUACUAGGUGUGGGAGGUGUCGACUCCUCCCGUGCCGUCGCUAACGCACUAAGUACCCCGCCUGGGGAGUACGGCCGCAAGGCUAAAACUCAAAGGAAUUGACGGGGGCCCGCACAAGCAGCGGAGCAUGUGGUUUAAUUCGACGCAACGCGAAGAACCUUACCUGGGCUU